UACGGGGGGUGCAAGCGUUAAUCGGAAUUACUGGGCGUAAAGGGUGCGUAGGUGGUUAGAUAAGUUAAAUGUGAAAUACCUGGGCUUAACUUGGGAUGUGCAUUUGAUACUGUUUAGCUUGAGUAUAAGAGAGGGUAGUGGAAUUUCCGGUGUAGCGGUGAAAUGCGUAGAUAUCGGAAGGAACACCAGUGGCGAAGGCGGCUACCUGGCUUGAUACUGACACUGAGGCACGAAAGCAUGGGUAGCGAACAGG
RNAcentral lists this ribosomal RNA (253 nucleotides) under uncultured bacterium. Its description in RNAcentral is "partial 16S ribosomal RNA". It matches the Rfam family "Bacterial small subunit ribosomal RNA", at positions 524 to 776 of the family's 1533-position model. The record is from RNAcentral.